AUUUUAUAGUGACAAAGAGGCUAAAAACAACUGAGAGAACUUCAGUAUAUUUAGUUGCAGUUGCUUUGUGAGUCAGGGCAGUUGCAUUUGGAAUUCCCUCCCAGAUUAUGUUUUCCAAAGGGAAAUCAAACCCAAUUAAUAAAUCUGUGUCUCCAUUUCAGGUCAAAGGAAAAAUGAUAAUGAAUUCAUUGAGCCUCUUUGCUGCCAUUUCUGGAAUGAUUCUUUCAAUCAUGGACAUACUUAAUAUUAAAAUUUCCCAUUUUUUAAAAAUGGAGAGUCUGAAUUUUAUUAGAGCUCACACACCAUAUAUUAACAUAUACAACUGUGAACCAGCUAAUCCCUCUGAGAAAAACUCCCCAUCUACCCAAUACUGUUACAGCAUACAAUCUCUGUUCUUGGGCAUUUUGUCAGUGAUGCUGAUCUUUGCCUUCUUCCAGGAACUUGUAAUAGCUGGCAUCGUUGAGAAUGAAUGGAAAAGAACGUGCUCCAGACCCAAAUCUAACAUAGUUCUCCUGUCAGCAGAAGAAAAAAAAGAACAGACUAUUGAAAUAAAAGAAGAAGUGGUUGGGCUAACUGAAACAU
Molecule: small RNA, 582 nt
Filed under: Pan troglodytes (chimpanzee)
Lineage: Eukaryota; Metazoa; Chordata; Mammalia; Primates; Hominidae
Description: retained intron
Source: RNAcentral